Molecule: transfer RNA, 92 nt
Filed under: Streptomyces mangrovi
Lineage: Bacteria; Bacillati; Actinomycetota; Actinomycetes; Kitasatosporales; Streptomycetaceae
Description: tRNA-Ile
Rfam family: tRNA
About the family: Transfer RNA (tRNA) molecules are approximately 80 nucleotides in length. Their secondary structure includes four short double-helical elements and three loops (D, anti-codon, and T loops).
Source: RNAcentral
GGAGAGGUGCCCGGAGUGGCUUAUCGGGGACUCGGGUUAUACCCGGAGUCGGGUCUUCACGGCCCACGCAGGUUCGAAUCCUGCCCUCUCCG